RNAcentral lists this ribosomal RNA (437 nucleotides) under uncultured bacterium. RNAcentral's name for it is "partial 16S ribosomal RNA". It matches the Rfam family "Bacterial small subunit ribosomal RNA", at positions 29 to 507 of the family's 1533-position model. The record is from RNAcentral.
AGCGAACGCUGGCGGCAGGCUUAACACAUGCAAGUCGAGCGGGCAUCCUUGUGGUGUCAGCGGCAGACGGGUGAGUAACGCGUGGGAACGUGCCCUUCGGUUCGGAAUAACUCAGGGAAACUUGAGCUAAUACCGGAUACGUGCGAGAGCAGAAAGGUUUAUCUGCCGAAGGAUCGGCCCGCGUCUGAUUAGCUAGUUGGUGAGGUUACGGCUCACCAAGGCGACGAUCAGUAGCUGGUCUGAGAGGAUGAUCAGCCACACUGGGACUGAGACACGGCCCAGACUCCUACGGGAGGCAGCAGUGGGGAAUAUUGGACAAUGGGGGCAACCCUGAUCCAGCCAUACCGCGUGAGUGAUGACGGCCUUAGGGUUGUAAAGCUCUUUUCUCCGGGACGAUAAUGACGGUACCGGAGGAAUAAGCCCCGGCUAACUUCGUG